This 624-nucleotide ribosomal RNA is filed under the name uncultured Acidovorax sp. RNAcentral's name for it is "bacterial SSU rRNA". It matches the Rfam family "Bacterial small subunit ribosomal RNA", at positions 55 to 674 of the family's 1533-position model. Lineage: Bacteria; Pseudomonadati; Pseudomonadota; Betaproteobacteria; Burkholderiales; Comamonadaceae. The record is from RNAcentral.
AUGCAAGUCGAACGGCAGCACGGACUUCGGUCUGGUGGCGAGUGGCGAACGGGUGAGUAAUACAUCGGAACGUGCCCAGUCGUGGGGGAUAACGUAGCGAAAGCUACGCUAAUACCGCAUACGAUCUAAGGAUGAAAGCGGGGGAUCGCAAGACCUCGCGCGAUUGGAGCGGCCGAUGGCAGAUUAGGUAGUUGGUGGGGUAAAGGCUCACCAAGCCGACGAUCUGUAGCUGGUCUGAGAGGACGACCAGCCACACUGGGACUGAGACACGGCCCAGACUCCUACGGGAGGCAGCAGUGGGGAAUUUUGGACAAUGGGCGCAAGCCUGAUCCAGCCAUUCCGCGUGCAGGAUGAAGGCCCUCGGGUUGUAAACUGCUUUUGUACGGAACGAAAAGGCUCUGGUUAAUACCCGGGGCUCAUGACGGUACCGUAAGAAUAAGCACCGGCUAACUACGUGCCAGCAGCCGCGGUAAUACGUAGGGUGCAAGCGUUAAUCGGAAUUACUGGGCGUAAAGCGUGCGCAGGCGGUGAUGUAAGACAGAGGUGAAAUCCCCGGGCUCAACCUGGGAACUGCCUUUGUGACUGCAUCGCUGGAGUACGGCAGAGGGGGAUGGAAUUCCGCGU